This 496-nucleotide ribosomal RNA is filed under the name uncultured bacterium. RNAcentral describes it as "partial 16S ribosomal RNA". It matches the Rfam family "Bacterial small subunit ribosomal RNA", at positions 28 to 506 of the family's 1533-position model. The record is from RNAcentral.
GAUGAACGCUGGCGGCGUGCCUAAUACAUGCAAGUCGAGCGAACGGACGAGAAGCUUGCUUCUCUGAUGUUAGCGGCGGACGGGUGAGUAACACGUGGAUAACCUACCUAUAAGACUGGGAUAACUUCGGGAAACCGGAGCUAAUACCGGAUAAUAUUUUGAACCGCAUGGUUCAAAAGUGAAAGACGGUCUUGCUGUCACUUAUAGAUGGAUCCGCGCUGCAUUAGCUAGUUGGUAAGGUAACGGCUUACCAAGGCAACGAUGCAUAGCCGACCUGAGAGGUGGAUCGGCCACAGUGGAACGGGGACAGGGCCCAACCCCCUAGGGGGGGCAGCAGUAGGGAAUCUUCCGAAAGGGGCGAAAGCCUGACGGAGCAACGCCGCGUGGGUGAUGAAGGUCUUCGGAUUGUAAAACUCUGUUUUUAGGGAAGAAAAUAUGUGUAAGUAACGGUGCACAUUUUGACGGUACCAAAUAAGAAAGCCCCGGCUAACUACGU